RNAcentral lists this ribosomal RNA (516 nucleotides) under uncultured cyanobacterium. Its description in RNAcentral is "bacterial SSU rRNA". It matches the Rfam family "Bacterial small subunit ribosomal RNA", at positions 361 to 889 of the family's 1533-position model. Lineage: Bacteria; Bacillati; Cyanobacteriota. The record is from RNAcentral.
AUUUUCCCCAAUGGCNNGAAAGCCUGACGGAGCAAGACCGCGUGAGGGAGGAAGCCCUUGGGUUGUAAACCUCUUUUGUCAGGGAAGAACACAAUGACGGUACCUGACGAAUCANCCUCGGCUAACUCCGUGCCAGCCAGCCGCGGUAAUACGGAGGAGGCAAGCGUUAUCCGGAAUUAUUGGGCGUAAAGCGUCCGCAGGUGGCUUAUCAAGUCUGCCGUCAAAGACCGGGGCUUAACCCUGGAAAGGCGCUGGAAACUGACAAGCUAGAGUGUCGUAGGGGUAGAGGGAAUUCCCGGUGUAGCGGUGAAAUGCGUANAGCUCGGGAAGAACAUCGGUGGCGAAAGCGCUCUACUGGACGGCAACUGACACUCAGGGACGAAAGCUAGGGGAGCGAAUGGGAUUAGAUACCCCAGUAGUCCUAGCCGUAAACGAUGGAUACUAGGUGUGGCUUGUAUCGACCCAAGCCGUGCCGUAGCUAACGCGUUAAGUAUCCCGCCUGGGGAGUACGCACGC